AGCCUCAGAUUCCCUUCCCCACUGGAUCUUGAUGCUGGUCUUGGAAGUCUAUAAAGGAGGAAGCACAUACAGAAGCUGGCCUAUACCAGUAGUCUGGUAUAGAGCACUGGGUCAGAUUCAUACAUGC
This 127-nucleotide small nucleolar RNA is filed under the name Mesocricetus auratus (golden hamster). Its description in RNAcentral is "Small nucleolar RNA SNORA61 (ENSMAUG00000002492.1)". Lineage: Eukaryota; Metazoa; Chordata; Mammalia; Rodentia; Cricetidae. The record is from RNAcentral.